Molecule: small RNA, 76 nt
Filed under: Flavobacterium sp. 123
Lineage: Bacteria; Pseudomonadati; Bacteroidota; Flavobacteriia; Flavobacteriales; Flavobacteriaceae
Description: Flavo-1 RNA
Rfam family: Flavo-1 RNA
Source: Rfam by way of RNAcentral
UUUUAGCCCCGACGGCAACGGCAUCCUUUUGUGUCAGGUUUUGACACGAAAGAUAUAGUGAACGGCGGGAAUAGCU